AGAGUUUGAUCAUGGCUCAGGACGAACGCUUGCGGCGUGCCUAAGACAUGCAAGUCGAACGGAUGUAGCAAUACAUUAGUGGCGAACGGUCGCGUAACACGUAAGAAACCUGCCCGGAAGUGGGGGACAACAGCCUGAAAGGGCUGCUAAUACCGCAUGGUGACAAAGUAUCGCAUGGUGCUUUGUCUAAAGCCUUGUGCGCUUUCGGAUGGUCUUGCGGCCUAUCAGGUAGUUGGUGAGGUAAUGGCUCACCAAGCCGACGACGGGUAGCUGGUCUGAGAGGACGAUCAGCCGGAUUGGGACUGAGAUACGGCCCAGACUCCUACGGGGGGCAGCAAUUAGGAAUCUUGCACAAUGGGGGAAACCCUGAUGCAGCGACGCCGCGUGAGGGAUGACGGUCUUCGGAUUGUAAACCUCUUUUUCCGGGGAAGAAACAAAUGACGGUACCCGGUGAAUAAGCCCCGGCUAACUACGUGCCAGCCGCCGCGGUAAUUC
RNAcentral lists this ribosomal RNA (495 nucleotides) under uncultured bacterium. RNAcentral describes it as "bacterial SSU rRNA". It matches the Rfam family "Bacterial small subunit ribosomal RNA", at positions 8 to 526 of the family's 1533-position model. The record is from RNAcentral.